UGGGGAAUAUUGGACAAUGGGGGCAACCCUGAUCCAGCCAUGCCGCGUGUGUGAAGAAGGCCUUUUGGUUGUAAAGCACUUUAAGCAGGGAGGAGAGGCUAAUGGUUAAUACCCAUUAGAUUAGACGUUACCUGCAGAAUAAGCACCGGCUAACUCUGUGCCAGCAGCCGCGGUAAUACAGAGGGUGCGAGCGUUAAUCGGAAUUACUGGGCGUAAAGCGAGUGUAGGUGGCUCAUUAAGUCACAUGUGAAAUCCCCGGGCUUAACCUGGGAACUGCAUGUGAUACUGGUGGUGCUAGAAUAUGUGAGAGGGAAGUAGAAUUCCAGGUGUAGCGGUGAAAUGCGUAGAGAUCUGGAGGAAUACCGAUGGGGAAGGCAGCUUCCUGGCAUAAUUUUGACACUGAAAUUCAAAAGCGUGGGUAGCAAACAGGAUUAGAUACCCUGGUAGUCCAAAACGUAAACAAUGUCUACUAGCCGUUGGGGUCCUUGAGACUUGAGUGGCGCAAUUAACGCGAGAAGUGUACCGCCGGGGGAGUACGGCCGUAAGACUGGCAGUGAAAUGAAUUGUCGG
RNAcentral lists this ribosomal RNA (570 nucleotides) under uncultured Moraxella sp. Its description in RNAcentral is "bacterial SSU rRNA". It matches the Rfam family "Bacterial small subunit ribosomal RNA", at positions 355 to 916 of the family's 1533-position model. The record is from RNAcentral. Lineage: Bacteria; Pseudomonadati; Pseudomonadota; Gammaproteobacteria; Moraxellales; Moraxellaceae.